CCUACGGGGGGCAGCAGUGAGGAAUAUUGGUCAAUGGACGAGAGUCUGAACCAGCCAAGUAGCGUGAAGGAUGACUGCCCUAUGGGUUGUAAACUUCUUUUAUAUGGGAAUAAAACGUUCCACGUGUGGGAUUUUGUAUGUACCAUAUGAAUAAGGAUCGGCUAACUCCGUGCCAGCAGCCGCGGUAAUACGGAGGAUCCGAGCGUUAUCCGGAUUUAUUGGGUUUAAAGGGAGCGUAGGUGGAUUGUUAAGUCAGUUGUGAAAGUUUGCGGCUCAACCGUAAAAUUGCAGUUGAAACUGGCAGUCUUGAGUACAGUAGAGGUAGGCGGAAUUCGUGGUGUAGCGGUGAAAUGCUUAGAUAUCACGAAGAACUCCGAUUGCGAAGGCAGUUCACUAAACUGCGACUGACACUGAGGCUCGAAAGUGUGGGUAUCAAACAGGAUUAGAUACCCUGGUAGUC
Molecule: ribosomal RNA, 460 nt
Filed under: uncultured bacterium
Lineage: Bacteria
Description: partial 16S ribosomal RNA
Rfam family: Bacterial small subunit ribosomal RNA
Source: RNAcentral